This 162-nucleotide unclassified non-coding RNA is filed under the name uncultured Sordariomycetes. Its description in RNAcentral is "sequence contains ITS2". The record is from RNAcentral. Lineage: Eukaryota; Fungi; Ascomycota; Sordariomycetes.
CAGCCCCUCAAGCACUUGCUUGGUGUUGGGGAUCCAGGCUCUAUCGCCUGGGCCCUGAAAUACAGUGGCGGGCCUGACAGGACCCCGAGCGCAGUAGUUUUACAGCCUCGCUCAGGGCGGACUGCCGGUGCCCACGCCGUAAAACCCCCUAACUGCCCAAAA